ACCUACUGCUUAAUUUUGAGGGUUCGUUUUUACCAAUACUCAAGAUUAUGACUUUUAGCAGCGAGAUUUAUCCGCUGGCGCUGUGCGUUACCACUUUACGCAACACAACAUACUGAACGCAUGUGAAGAUUGUACGUUGGCCCUGGGCGUUAUCACUUUACGCAACGAGGUUUAUCCGUUGGAGCUGUGCUUUAGCACUUUGAAAACUGCAUAUAUAUAUUUAGAGAUAUGACAUCUAAUUUGAAAUAUGUAAAGCGGAUAACUUUUUAAAAUUAUCGAACUUGAUAACUUCUACUCUAUCACACCUUUUUAACUGGUCAA
Molecule: unclassified non-coding RNA, 321 nt
Filed under: Clostridioides difficile
Lineage: Bacteria; Bacillati; Bacillota; Clostridia; Peptostreptococcales; Peptostreptococcaceae
Description: 16S-23S ribosomal RNA intergenic spacer (ISR)
Source: RNAcentral